GUUGGGCCACCUGAGUAAAGAAGCCACUACUAAUCUCUCAUAGGCUGCUAGAUUCAGCCCCUAAAUAAUUUAAUUUCUAAAAAAUACUAAAUCUAUUUGAAAAUUUCUUAAACUCCUACCCCACUACGUAUACAUAGAUUGUUGCUCAUGAAAAAAUUAGAUUGUAAAAGACAUUUUUAGGUUGUUUCGUAUGGUGCCUUAUCUGUUUAUUUGAUAAUAGAAAAAGUGUUAGUAAUAUUGUUCAUAAAUUGACAUAUCUCUCAUAGAGUUUGUAUGUACGAGAGAUAUGUCAAUUUGUAAAUAUCUGUACUACCACU
RNAcentral lists this long non-coding RNA (317 nucleotides) under Sorghum bicolor (sorghum). RNAcentral describes it as "long non-coding RNA (SBIC_LNC004533)". The record is from RNAcentral. Lineage: Eukaryota; Viridiplantae; Streptophyta; Magnoliopsida; Poales; Poaceae.